Molecule: non-coding RNA, 131 nt
Filed under: Physcomitrium patens
Lineage: Eukaryota; Viridiplantae; Streptophyta; Bryopsida; Funariales; Funariaceae
Description: Physcomitrella patens TPP sequence
Rfam family: TPP riboswitch aptamer (THI element)
About the family: Vitamin B(1) in its active form thiamin pyrophosphate (TPP) is an essential coenzyme that is synthesised by coupling of pyrimidine and thiazole moieties in bacteria. The previously detected thiamin-regulatory element, thi box was extended, resulting in a new, highly conserved RNA secondary structure, the THI element, which is widely distributed in eubacteria and also occurs in some archaea.
Source: Rfam by way of RNAcentral
UUCUGGCACCAGGGGUGCUUGCAUGAUUAAGAAGCGCAAUCCUGAUGCGUUGAUUAACUAUGCAGGCUGAGAGAGUCCCUUCGCACCUGAACAGGUUAAUACCUGCGUAGGGAGCGUGCCAUUGUCUUUUC